AGCAUUUGUUUGACAGAUCUGGAGCAGUUACUGUUUGCUCUUAAGGUUUCGCACAGAUGCAAGAGAAAAUGUCCUCACGCUUUCUGCCUGCCUGCCUGCCUGUGGCAGCCAUGAUUGAGUAGAGGAAUACAGUA
Echinops telfairi (small Madagascar hedgehog) is the source of this 134-nucleotide small nucleolar RNA. The record is from Ensembl. NCBI's taxonomy places the organism in Eukaryota, Metazoa, Chordata, Mammalia, Afrosoricida, Tenrecidae.